AACACGUUGGCAUAACCUACCGUAUUAAGAACUGGGAUAACUUCGGGAAACCGGAGCUAAUACCGGAUAACAUAUUGAACCGCAUGGUUCAAUAGUGAAAGGCGGCUUUGCUGUCACUUAUAGAUGGAUCCGCGCCGUAUUAGCUAGUUGGUAAGGUAACGGCUUACCAAGGCAACGAUACGUAGCCGACCUGAGAGGGUGAUCGGCCACACUGGAACUGAGACACGGUCCAGACUCCUACGGGAGGCAGCAGUAGGGAAUCUUCCGCAAUGGGCGAAAGCCUGACGGAGCAACGCCGCGUGAGUGAUGAAGGUCUUCGGAUCGUAAAACUCUGUUAUCAGGGAAGAACAAAUGUGUAAGUAACUGUGCACAUCUUGACGGUACCUGAUCAGAAAGCCACGGCUAACUACGUGCCAGCAGCCGCGGUAAUACGUAGGUGGCAAGCGUUAUCCGGAAUUAUUGGGCGUAAAGCGCGCGUAGGCGGUUUUUUAAGUCUGAUGUGAAAGCCCACGGCUCAACCGUGGAGGGUCAUUGGAAACUGGAAAACUUGAGUGCAGAAGAGGAAAGUGGAAUUCCAUGUGUAGCGGUGAAAUGCGCAGAG
This 601-nucleotide ribosomal RNA is filed under the name Staphylococcus pasteuri. RNAcentral describes it as "bacterial SSU rRNA". It matches the Rfam family "Bacterial small subunit ribosomal RNA", at positions 112 to 695 of the family's 1533-position model. Lineage: Bacteria; Bacillati; Bacillota; Bacilli; Caryophanales; Staphylococcaceae. The record is from RNAcentral.